UCGAGGAUCUUCGGCAAUGGGCGCAAGCCUGACCGAGCGACGCCGCGUGUGCGAUGAAGGCCUUCGGGUUGUAAAGCACUGUCGAGGGGGAGGAAGCCGCAAGGUUGACCUAUCCCUGGAGGAAGCACGGGCUAAGUUCGUGCCAGCAGCCGCGGUAAGACGAACCGUGCGAACGUUGUUCGGAAUCACUGGGCUUAAAGGGCGCGUAGGCGGGUCGGCCGGUCCGGGGUGAAAGCCCCCAGCUCAACUGGGGAAGAGCCUUGGAUACCGCCGGUCUCGAGGAAGGUAGGGGCACGUGGAACUUCGGGUGGAGCGGUGAAAUGCGUUGAUAUCCGAAGGAACGCCGGUGGCGAAAGCGACGUGCUGGACCUUUUCUGACGCUGAGGCGCGAAAGCCAGGGGAGCGAACGG
RNAcentral lists this ribosomal RNA (410 nucleotides) under uncultured bacterium. RNAcentral describes it as "bacterial SSU rRNA". It matches the Rfam family "Bacterial small subunit ribosomal RNA", at positions 355 to 775 of the family's 1533-position model. The record is from RNAcentral.